This 301-nucleotide ribosomal RNA is filed under the name uncultured bacterium. RNAcentral's name for it is "partial 16S ribosomal RNA". It matches the Rfam family "Bacterial small subunit ribosomal RNA", at positions 509 to 807 of the family's 1533-position model. The record is from RNAcentral.
CAGUAGCCGCGGUAAAACGGAGGGUGCAAGCGUUAAUCGGAAUUACUGGGCGUAAAGCGCACGCAGGCGGUCUGUCAAGUCAGAUGUGAAAUCCCCGGGCUUAACCUGGGAACUGCAUUUGAAACUGGCAGGCUAGAGUCUUGUAGAGGGGGGUAGAAUUCCAGGUGUAGCGGUGAAAUGCGUAGAGAUCUGGAGGAAUACCGGUGGCGAAGGCGGCCCCCUGGACAAAGACUGACGCUCAGGUGCGAAAGCGUGGGGAGCAAACAGGAUUAGAUACCCGAGUAGUCCCUGUCUCUUAUAC